Molecule: ribosomal RNA, 465 nt
Filed under: uncultured bacterium
Lineage: Bacteria
Description: partial 16S ribosomal RNA
Rfam family: Bacterial small subunit ribosomal RNA
Source: RNAcentral
GACGAACGCUGGCGGCGUGCUUAACACAUGCAAGUCGAACGGAAAGGCCCUGCUUGCUGGGUCCUCGAGUGGCGAACGGGUGAGUAACACGCGGGUGUUCUGCCCUGCACUUCGGGAUAAGCCUGGGAAACUGGGUCUAUUACCGGAUAGGAGCCAUUUUUAGUGUGAUGGUUGGAAAGUUUUUUUGGUGUAGGAUGAGCUCGCGGGCUAUCAGCUUGGUGGUGGGGUAAUGGCCUACCAAGGCGGCGGCGGGUAGCCGGCCUGGGAGGGUGGACGGCCACAUCGGGACUGGGAUUCGGCCCAGGCCCAUACGGGAGGCAGCAGUGGGGAAUGGUGCACAAUGGGCGCGAGCGUGAUGCAGCGACGGCGCGGGGGGGAUGACGGCCUUCGGGUUGUGAACGCAUUGCGCUAGGGACCAAGCUUUUUGUGACGGUACCUAGAGAAGAAGCACCGGCUAACUACGUG